GAUGAACGCUGGCGGCGUGCCUAAUACAUGCAAGUCGAGCGAACAGACGAGGAGCCUGCCCCUCUGAUUUUAGCGGCGGACGGGUGAGUAACACGCGGAUAAACUACCUAUUAGACUGGGAUAACUUCGGGCAACCGGAGCUCUUAUCGGAUAAUAUCUUGCAACGCAUGGUUCAAUAGUGAAAGACGGUUUUGCUGUUACUUAUAGCUGGCUCCGCGUCGCAUUAGCUAGUUGGUAAGGUAACGGCUUACCAAGGCAACGAUGCGUAGCUGACCUGAGAUGGUGAUCGGCCACACUGGAACUGAGACGCGAUCCGGACUCCUACGGGAGGCAAGGGUGGGGAGUCUACCGCAAGGGGCUGAGGCCUGACGGGGCAACGCCGCGUGAGUGAUAAAGGUCUUCGGAUCGUAAAACUCUGUUAUUAGGGAAGAACAAAUGUGUAAGUAACGAUUCACGUCUUGACGGUACCUAAUCAGAAAGCCACGGCUAACUCCGUG
Molecule: ribosomal RNA, 497 nt
Filed under: uncultured bacterium
Lineage: Bacteria
Description: partial 16S ribosomal RNA
Rfam family: Bacterial small subunit ribosomal RNA
Source: RNAcentral